RNAcentral lists this ribosomal RNA (228 nucleotides) under bacterium enrichment culture clone ALO1_GLFRUDD03GRBFJ. Its description in RNAcentral is "partial 16S ribosomal RNA". It matches the Rfam family "Bacterial small subunit ribosomal RNA", at positions 9 to 237 of the family's 1533-position model. The record is from RNAcentral.
GAGUUUGAUCGUGGCUCAGAUUGAACGCUGGCGGCAUGCCUUACACAUGCAAGUCGAACGGCAGCACGGGAGCUUGCUCCUGGUGGCGAGUGGCGAACGGGUGAGUAAUGCAUCGGAACGUAUCCUGGAGUGGGGGAUAACGUAGCGAAAGUUACGCUAAUACCGCAUAUUCUGUGAGCAGGAAAGCGGGGGACCUUCGGGCCUCGCGCUCUUGGAGCGGCCGAUGUC